Molecule: ribosomal RNA, 159 nt
Filed under: Fusarium tumidum
Lineage: Eukaryota; Fungi; Ascomycota; Sordariomycetes; Hypocreales; Nectriaceae
Description: 5.8S ribosomal RNA
Rfam family: 5.8S ribosomal RNA
About the family: 5.8S ribosomal RNA (5.8S rRNA) is a component of the large subunit of the eukaryotic ribosome. It is transcribed by RNA polymerase I as part of the 45S precursor that also contains 18S and 28S rRNA.
Source: RNAcentral
AAACUUUCAAACAACGGAUCUCUUGGUUCUGGCAUCGAUGAAGAACGCAGCAAAAUGCGAUAAGUAAUGUGAAUUGCAGAAUUCAGUGAAUCAUCGAAUCUUUGAACGCACAUUGCGCCCGCCAGUAUUCUGGCGGGCAUGCCUGUUCGAGCGUCAUUU